CUACGGGAUGCACCAGUGAGGAAUUUUGCGCAAUGGGGGCAACCCUGACGCAGCAACGCCGCGUGAGUGAAGAAGGCCCUUGGGUCGUAAAGCUCUGUCAAUGGGGAAGAAGUUACUUGGUAUUAAUAGUGCCUUGUAUUGACGGUACCCAUGAAGGAAGCACCGGCUAGCUCCGUGCCAGCAGCCGCGGUAAUACGGGGGGUGCAAGCGUUAUUCGGAAUUAUUGGGCGUAAAGGACACGCAGGCGGUCCUGUCAGUCAGAUGUGAAAGCCCAGGGCUCAACCCUGGACGUGCAUUUGAAACAGCAGGACUUGAGUACGGGAGAGGAAAGGGGAAUUCCUGGUGUAGAGGUGAAAUUCGUAGAUAUCAGGAGGAACACCGGUGGCGAAGGCGCCUUUCUGGACCGAUACUGACGCUGAGGUGCGAAGGCGUGGGUAGCGAACGGGAUUAGAUACCCUGGUAGUC
This 465-nucleotide ribosomal RNA is filed under the name uncultured bacterium. Its description in RNAcentral is "partial 16S ribosomal RNA". It matches the Rfam family "Bacterial small subunit ribosomal RNA", at positions 339 to 795 of the family's 1533-position model. The record is from RNAcentral.